This 498-nucleotide ribosomal RNA is filed under the name uncultured bacterium. Its description in RNAcentral is "bacterial SSU rRNA". It matches the Rfam family "Bacterial small subunit ribosomal RNA", at positions 28 to 507 of the family's 1533-position model. The record is from RNAcentral.
GGCUAACGCUGGCGGCGUGUCUUAGCCAUGCAAGUCGAGCGGACUUAUGGGGUAACUUAUAAGUCAGCGGCGGACGGCGGAGUAACACGUAGCUAACCUACCCUCUGGACGGGGAUAACCUACCGAAAGGUGGGCUAAUACCCGAUGUAGUCAUCCUGUAUAGGGGUGAUGAAAGGUGGGCUUCUGUUUACAAGCUCAUGCUGGAGGAGGGGGCUGCGGCCUAUCAGGUAGUUGGUAGGGUAAUAGCCUACCAAGCCGAUGACGGGUAGCCGGCCUGAGAGGGUGACCGGCCCGAGGGGCACUGAGAUACGGGUCCCACUCCUACGGGAGGCAGCAGGCUAGAAAUUUGGGCAAUGGGGGAAACCCUGACCCAGUGACGCCGCGUGCAGGAAGGAGCCCUUCGGGGUGUAAACUGCUGUCGUGUAGGGAGAAGGGUACUAAAGGUGAACAAUCUUAGUACUUGACGGUACUACAGGAGGAAGCCCAGCUAACCUCGUG